CAGUAGCCACGGUAAUACGUAGGUGGCAAGCGUUGUCCGGAAUUAUUGGGCGUAAAGGGCUCGCAGGCGGUUUCUUAAGUCUGAUGUGAAAGCCCCCGGCUCAACCGGGGAGGGUCAUUGGAAACUGGAAAACUUGAGUGCAGAAGAGGAGAGUGGAAUUCCACGUGUAGCGGUGAAAUGCGUAGAGAUGUGGAGGAACACCAGUGGCGAAGGCGACUCUCUGGUCUGUAACUGACGCUGAGGAGCGAAAGCGUGGGGAGCGAACAGGAUUAGAGACCCCUGUAGUCCCUGUCUCUUAUAC
RNAcentral lists this ribosomal RNA (301 nucleotides) under uncultured bacterium. RNAcentral describes it as "partial 16S ribosomal RNA". It matches the Rfam family "Bacterial small subunit ribosomal RNA", at positions 509 to 807 of the family's 1533-position model. The record is from RNAcentral.